AACGAACGCUGGCGGCAGGCCUAACACAUGCAAGUCGAACGCCGUAGCAAUACGGAGUGGCAGACGGGUGAGUAACGCGUGGGAACAUGCCCUUUGGUUUGGAAUAACUCAGGGAAACUUGAGCUAAUACCGGAUAAGCCCGAGAGGGGAAAGAUUUAUCGCCGAAGGAUUGGCCCGCGUCCGAUUAGCUAGUUGGUGAGGUAAUGGCUCACCAAGGCGACGAUCGGUAGCUGGUUUGAGAGGAUGAUCAGCCACACUGGGACUGAGACACGGCCCAGACUCCUACGGGAGGCAGCAGUGGGGAAUAUUGGACAAUGGGCGCAAGCCUGAUCCAGCCAUGCCGCGUGAGUGAUGAAGGCCCUAGGGUUGUAAAGCUCUUUCGCCAGGGACGAUAAUGACGGUACCUGGAUAAGAAGCCCCGGCUAACUUCGUG
This 433-nucleotide ribosomal RNA is filed under the name uncultured bacterium. RNAcentral describes it as "bacterial SSU rRNA". It matches the Rfam family "Bacterial small subunit ribosomal RNA", at positions 29 to 507 of the family's 1533-position model. The record is from RNAcentral.